GGUGCCGGUGCGGCGGGGGACUGCGGCGCCAGCCUCAGGUAGCAGCAGCAGCAGCAGCAGCAAUGUUUCACUUCUUCAGAAAGCCUCCGGAAUCUAAAAAGCCCUCGGUACCAGAGACAGAAGCAGAUGGAUUCGUCCUUUUAGGAGAGCUAGCUUGAGACAGAGGUAACAUGUCGAAGAUGGCAGAGUAAAAGGAGGAAGCAACCAUGAUGACAUUGUUGAACUGACGUAUUCACUAACUUGGGAGCUGUUUACCUCUGGACUUUUUAGACCAUGUGGUAGAAAUAAGAGGAAAAAGACAUUCCAAGAGAGAAGAAUGACACUGAAUGAAAGCCCAGAGAAAAUAGGCAAAUGGAUUGAAUGCUAUGUGCACCCACCUGCCUCUAAGCUGGUGGAAAUUUAUAUUCAUACAGUCUUUCUGGAAGACAAAU
RNAcentral lists this small RNA (431 nucleotides) under Pongo abelii (Sumatran orangutan). Its description in RNAcentral is "processed transcript". The record is from RNAcentral. Lineage: Eukaryota; Metazoa; Chordata; Mammalia; Primates; Hominidae.